UUCGGACACCCCACCCGCUCCUCCGACUGAGGCUCCUGGAGCAGCGAGCCCCGAUGCUUCAACCCCUGGUCCUUCUGUAGCUGACGAUCAGAGUGGAGCAGUGAGGUGCCUGCACAAGGUAGUCGGAUCCAUUGCAUUGGGAUGGGCAGUUUUGGCAUUAUUCUAGAGAUUUGAGAUUGGGAGCUGCAGGUGGUGUACCUGAAAUCUGAAAUGGAACAAGGACGGUGUUAAUUUGUUGUAAUGUUGGUCCUUAUUAUUUUAAUCUUUUGUCCACCGUUGUGUUCAUUAUUUAUUUACCAUUUAUUCUAGUCGGAUCUAGAACAAGAAUUCAUAUUUAUUUACCAUUUAUUUCUCUUUUAAAAAAACCACUUUUAUUAAUUUAUUAUCCUCUGUAUUCUUUUGACACAUCCCAAUUCACUCGCUCCUUUGUCU
This is a non-coding RNA of Prunus avium (sweet cherry), 432 nucleotides long. The record is from RefSeq and is a predicted model, not a curated record. NCBI's taxonomy places the organism in Eukaryota, Viridiplantae, Streptophyta, Magnoliopsida, Rosales, Rosaceae.